UGGGGAAUUUUGGACAAUGGGCGAAAGCCUGAUCCAGCAAUGCCGCGUGUGUGAAGAAGGCCUUCGGGUUGUAAAGCACUUUUGUCCGGAAAGAAAUCCUUGGCUCUAAUACAGUCGGGGGAUGACGGUACCGGAAGAAUAAGCACCGGCUAACUACGUGCCAGCAGCCGCGGUAAUACGUAGGGUGCAAGCGUUAAUCGGAAUUACUGGGCGUAAAGCGUGCGCAGGCGGUUUGCUAAGACCGAUGUGAAAUCCCCGGGCUCAACCUGGGAACUGCAUUGGUGACUGGCAGGCUAGAGUAUGGCAGAGGGGGGUAGAAUUCCACGUGUAGCAGUGAAAUGCGUAGAGAUGUGGAGGAAUACCGAUGGCGAAGGCAGCCCCCUGGGCCAAAUACUGACGCUCAUGCACGAAAAGCGUGGGGAGCAAACAGGAUUAGAUACCCUGGUAGUCCACGCCCUAAAACGAUGUCAACUAGUUGUUGGGGAUUCAUUUCCUUAGUAACGUAGCUAACGCGUGAAGUUGACCGCCUGGGGGGUACGGUCGCAAGAUUAAAACUCAAAGGAAUUGACGGGGUCAUA
RNAcentral lists this ribosomal RNA (578 nucleotides) under uncultured bacterium. RNAcentral's name for it is "partial 16S ribosomal RNA". It matches the Rfam family "Bacterial small subunit ribosomal RNA", at positions 355 to 923 of the family's 1533-position model. The record is from RNAcentral.